GACGAACGCUGGCGGCGUGCCUAAUACAUGCAAGUAGAACGCUGAAGAGAGGAGCUUGCUCUUCUUGGAUGAGUUGCGAACGGGUGAGUAACGCGUAGGUAACCUGCCUGGUAGCGGGGGAUAACUAUUGGAAACGAUAGCUAAUACCGCAUAAAAUGGAUUAUCGCAUGAUAAUCCAUUGAAAGGUGCAAAUGCAUCACUACCAGAUGGACCUGCGUUGUAUUAGCUAGUUGGUGGGGUAACGGCUCACCAAGGCGACGAUACAUAGCCGACCUGAGAGGGUGAUCGGCCACACUGGGACUGAGACACGGCCCAGACUCCUACGGGAGGCAGCAGUAGGGAAUCUUCGGCAAUGGACGGAAGUCUGACCGAGCAACGCCGCGUGAGUGAAGAAGGUUUUCGGAUCGUAAAGCUCUGUUGUAAGAGAAGAACGAGUGUGAGAGUGGAAAGUUCACACUGUGACGGUAUCGUACCAGAAAGGGACGGCUAACUACGU
RNAcentral lists this ribosomal RNA (496 nucleotides) under uncultured bacterium. Its description in RNAcentral is "partial 16S ribosomal RNA". It matches the Rfam family "Bacterial small subunit ribosomal RNA", at positions 28 to 506 of the family's 1533-position model. The record is from RNAcentral.